This 72-nucleotide transfer RNA is filed under the name Marmota monax (woodchuck). It matches the Rfam family "tRNA". From Rfam's summary of the family: Transfer RNA (tRNA) molecules are approximately 80 nucleotides in length. Lineage: Eukaryota; Metazoa; Chordata; Mammalia; Rodentia; Sciuridae. The record is from Rfam by way of RNAcentral.
GGGGGUGUAGCUCAAUGGUAGAUCACAUGCCUGGCAUGCACGAGGCUCUGGGCUCAAUCCUCAGUACUGCCA